GCAGCCUUUGCAGAAAAUAACAUCAAGCUGAAGAUGAAAGUAUACGACACCUAUGUGCUGAAUGAGGAACAGGAAAGAAACCACCUCGUGGAAAUUCCUGGGAGACAGUUUCAGUCAAUUGACUCAGAGAGAACCUCUGAGAGACUUAAGGGAAGAAUAGUUGAAUACCCUGGGGUCAACGAGUCCGACAUCGUCUACGUAUUUACGAGAAAGCUCCUCAGCA
Long non-coding RNA from Ornithodoros turicata, 223 nucleotides. RefSeq lists it as uncharacterized. The record is from RefSeq and is a predicted model, not a curated record. Lineage: Eukaryota; Metazoa; Arthropoda; Arachnida; Ixodida; Argasidae. The transcript is spliced from 3 exons.